ACACUAUAAACUUUCCGGUGAGAAACCUGGAUUCAGACGAAACUUCAAUGAGGUGAGUUUUCCAUUUUUUUUUACAUAUUUGGACUCCUUGCAACUUCCUCUUCUCAAAUUCAAGAUCUGAGAAACUUCAAAAAUCGAGUUCAAAAUCGAACUACACCUUUGAUCUUCUUUUUUUCCUCUUUGGUUGGUGAUAUGAUGUUA
RNAcentral lists this long non-coding RNA (201 nucleotides) under Lathyrus oleraceus (garden pea). RNAcentral's name for it is "Pisum sativum (pea) long non-coding RNA (PSAT_LNC037653)". Lineage: Eukaryota; Viridiplantae; Streptophyta; Magnoliopsida; Fabales; Fabaceae. The record is from RNAcentral.